This is a long non-coding RNA of Manacus vitellinus (golden-collared manakin), 699 nucleotides long. RefSeq lists it as uncharacterized. The record is from RefSeq and is a predicted model, not a curated record. Lineage: Eukaryota; Metazoa; Chordata; Aves; Passeriformes; Pipridae. The transcript is spliced from 5 exons.
CUUGGAGUGAGAGGGCUGCUAGGAUAUAAAUUUUUUCUCUUUGCCUACAAAACAGGCAGGAGGAAAUUGGUCUGAUCUAGCAGCAGGAGCUGGUACUUUCUCAAGCUGAACAGCUCAGUGUGUGUGGAAGGGGGUCAGACAGACCUGUUUCACUGACUGAUGGACUCCCAGGUUGAAACUGUGAGAUAAGUGCAUGCUGCUCUUCUCCUGUGAAAUGAGUUGCUGACCUCAAAGUCUGGGAAGACUUCUAACAGUGCAUAGAUCAUCUUGAAGACUGAAAAUUCGAGAAAAUGUACCCUCAUGUAAAAAAAAAAAGGGAAGAAGAAAAGUGAAACUCGUGCUUGGCACUUCCAUAGGGAUCUCUGAGUGCUAGGAGACAAAGAUGAAAACCAGCUGAUAGGAUACAGGCAACCACUACAGAGGAAAUACUGGAUGUCAGAAGAGGGGCGGGAAGCAAUGCCAAGGUCCAGAACACCUUUAGAUGCUGGAACCACCUGAAACCUCCUGAAAUCACUCACCACGGCUCAAACCGCUUUUAAUAAACAGGUAACUAAAAUUCAAGCACUUCCUUUAUAAAGCCUUUUGGUUUCAGGAAAGUGAAUCACUGUCUGACAGUUCGGUGGGAGGUUAUUCAUCCAGGAUUGCUUCACUCCUUCGUGGAGAUGCUUGGUGAGCAGCUCUGCACGCUGGCAGGCUGCU